UUUGCAAUAUAAUUGAGCCUCUCUCAGUGAAAAUGAGACUUAAUGCAUGUGCUUAAACUAUAUGCAGUCUGCCAUACCACAAAAGUUUAAAGUGUUGUCCCUGCUUAACCAGUGCAGACUGCACAUGCUAAUAUGGGACGGCUACGGACAUGCAUUAAGCCCCAUUUUGUCUGAGCGAGUCUUAGUGAAGUGCAAGUGCUUGUAAACUAUUAUGGCUGCUCACUUCGUUAUGAUCUUUAGUUUAAUUCUAUUUACUUAAGCUUGGUUGCUAUGAAAGCCUAAGGCUUAUUUGAAACACUCUUGAGUCUUUUUCCUGGGACUAGCACCAGAACUUGGUGUCUUUAGGGGAGAUCUAAAGAACUCCUACUGUAGGGAUCUAACCCAUGACCGCCUGGUCGCUAGAUGGACACCAUAGCCUGUUAGUUUUGCUCUUGGAACUGGCAUGCUCAGAAUUUCUAAUUUCUGUCUUAAUAUUCUGUAUACAAGACAGUGGUGAUUAUAUUUAACCAGGUUUUCCGAAGGAAAAAACUGGUUAUUAGAUUGGCGAAUGCGGGCGGGCUGGCUGGCGGGCUGGCUGGCGGGCUGGCGGAAUAAGCUUGUCCGGGCCAUAACUAUGUCGUUCAUUGUCAGAUUUUAAAAUCAUUUGGCACAUUUGUUCACCAUCAUUGGACAGUGUGUCGCGCGAAAUAAUAACGUCGAUAUCUCCAAGGUCAAGGUCACACUUUGAGUUCAAAGGUCAAAAAUGGCCAUAAAUGAGCUUGUCCUGGCCAUAACUAUGUCAUUCAUUGUGAGA
Molecule: long non-coding RNA, 793 nt
Organism: Dreissena polymorpha
Lineage: Eukaryota; Metazoa; Mollusca; Bivalvia; Myida; Dreissenidae
Exons: 2
Source: RefSeq, a predicted model, not a curated record